AUUGAACGCUGGCGGCAGGCCUAACACAUGCAAGGCGGGCGAGCGGCGGGCGGGUGAGUAAUGUAUGGGGAUCUGCCUGAUGGCGGGGGAUAACUACUGGAAACGGUAGCUAAUACCGCAUACAAUCAGAUGAACCCAUAGGGGAUUAGCUAGUAGGUAAGGGAACGGCUUACCUAGGCGACGAUCCCUAGCUGGUCUGAUAGGAUGAUCAGCCACACUGGGACUGAUACACGGCCCAGACUCCUACGGGAGGGAGCAGUGGGGAAUAUUGCACAAUGGGCGCAAGCCUGAUGCAGCCAUGCCGCGUGUAUGAAGAAGGCCUUCGGGUUGUAAAGUACUUUCAGUCGGGAGGCGGUACCGACAGAAGAAGCACCGGCUAACUCCGUGCCAGCAGCCGCGGUAAUAC
RNAcentral lists this ribosomal RNA (406 nucleotides) under uncultured bacterium. RNAcentral describes it as "partial 16S ribosomal RNA". It matches the Rfam family "Bacterial small subunit ribosomal RNA", at positions 30 to 526 of the family's 1533-position model. The record is from RNAcentral.